GUCCGCAACUCUGGAGAGCGGCAGUAGAACGGCGGCGGAUCACCCCGCGCGUUCAGGCUGCCCACCGAAGGGGCGCGCGCCGUCAAGCAUCAUUAGCCCGGCGCAAUCUCUCAGGUAUCGAGGACAGAGGGGCCAUG
RNAcentral lists this non-coding RNA (137 nucleotides) under Paraburkholderia sacchari. RNAcentral's name for it is "Burkholderia sacchari Glycine sequence". It matches the Rfam family "Glycine riboswitch aptamer". Rfam says of the family: This family represents the bacterial glycine riboswitch. Glycine riboswitches usually consist of two metabolite-binding aptamers domains with similar structures in tandem. Lineage: Bacteria; Pseudomonadati; Pseudomonadota; Betaproteobacteria; Burkholderiales; Burkholderiaceae. The record is from Rfam by way of RNAcentral.